CAUGGUAACAGGACCAAACCAACCUUAAUAUAUAGGGAAUCCAAGGGUAUCGUUGAAGGAGACACCGUCUUCCAGCAACUGGGCAAUGUGUCAGACAGAGCCUGUCAGAUUGAACUGGUCCUAAACUGGGGAUUCAUAGGUGGUCAGAGCGGACUGCGUGUAAAGGUGUGGCUGGUGGACAGUAUAUAGACAGGCUCCCUAGAGCCAUGAGGAAGAGAAUAGGUUCAGGAAAUUUCACACAGCCAAGAGUUUGGUAGGAAUUGUUAGGGAGUCAGGCAGCAAUUCCUCCAGAUUAGUAAGAAACGGGCCUUAGCUACUCUGAGCAGCGUUAAGAGCUGUUUGUGGGGGCCUGGAGAGGUUGCUUAGCAGUGAAGAGUGCUUGCUGAUCUUGCAAAGCGUCUGGGUUUGGUUCCUAGCUCCCACAGCCAGCAGCUCCCAACUACCUCCAUCUCCAUCUCCAGGGGAUCUGAGGGUACCUGCAUGCAUGCAUGUGUAGAUAUGUAUGUAUAUAUCUCCUGAUAAAUGGUCUAUGCUUUCAGAAAGUAUAGAGACAAAGGUUCUUGGGGGGGGAGGUACUCUUUGCGUGUGUGUGUGUGUGUGUGUGUGUGUCUGUAUAACAGGGUUCCGUGUUGCUUGAACUGACCUUGUACUUGCAUUUCAGAGUCAGAUUCGUGAAUUUGAAAACCUGGUCACCAGGGAGUGCCACCAUUUGAAAGGAUUAGGAGAUGUAGCCUUGUUGGAGGAAGUGUGUUGAUGGAGGUAGGCUCUGAGGGCUCAAGGACCCAAAUUAGGCCCAGCAUCUUUCUCUUCCUACUGCCUGUGGAUCUGGUUGUAGAACUCUGAGGAUCUUCUCUAGCAGCACGUCUGCUUGUGUGUCACCACCCUACCUCCUAUGAGGACAGUGGACUAAACCUCUGAAACUGUUGCCUUGUGGGACUGAGCAACUGCUGGAUCCUUAGACUUCCGUCCACAGCUGCUGCUGACCAUCGCUGGGAGUUGAACUACAGACUGGAUGCUACACACUGAGUGAAUUGUUUUGCUGGUUUCAGGAGAGGUCCUAGCCAAGAGGAGUGAAUACCACUCACAGGGGCAAAGGCAAGUGACCUGCUUGGAGAAACAGUCCACCUGCCCCGAGGAGAACAGAACAUCUUCACACCUUUUCCCUCUUCAUCCAAAGACUAAAAACUAGAUCCGAGUCCCUCCCGGAGGCAAAGGAAGACGGAAAACUAUCAAGGGGACGUGGAAAUUUCCCAGCCUGCAAACUCACUCAUCAUAGCCUUGGCCCAGCAUCUUACCCAUCCUCCCUCUUCCAUCAUCUGAUGUAGGACCUGCUAUAAAUUGAUGCCUCCUACCUGUCGAUGCAAGAGAAGAUAGCGCACAGUGAAGCACCUUUCCGUUUUCAAGUUUGACAAUAAAUCUAUUCUAUUUUCC
This 1431-nucleotide long non-coding RNA is filed under the name Mus pahari (shrew mouse). RNAcentral's name for it is "lncRNA (MGP_PahariEiJ_G0003056.1)". The record is from RNAcentral. Lineage: Eukaryota; Metazoa; Chordata; Mammalia; Rodentia; Muridae.